RNAcentral lists this ribosomal RNA (1523 nucleotides) under Thorius n. sp. RLM-2004. RNAcentral's name for it is "large subunit ribosomal RNA". It matches the Rfam family "Bacterial large subunit ribosomal RNA". Lineage: Eukaryota; Metazoa; Chordata; Amphibia; Caudata; Plethodontidae. The record is from RNAcentral.
AUUGUAAAUCUAGCCAAACACUCAACACCCCCCCCCCCACCACCAAACCAUUUAUAUAUGUAAGUAUGGGCGAUAGAAAACCUGUGUGCGCAAUAAAUAAAGUACUGCAAAGGAAAUAUGAAAUAGAAAUUAAAUAAACCAUAAAAAUAUUACAAAGCAAAGAUAAACACCAGUACCUUUUGCAUCAUGGCCUAGCAAGUCUUUUCCAACAAAAAGAAUUUUAAUCGGAAGCCCCGAAACCAGACGAGCUACCUUAAGACACAAUACGAGUAACCCCCUCUCUGUGGCAAAAUAGAGGAAAGAUCUUGAGGUAGUAGGUGACAAGCCUAACGAGCCUGGAUAUAGCUGGUUACUUGAAAAGUGAAUUUAAGUUCAAUUAAAGGAAGACUUACCAGUAAGGAAAACCUACGCCUUUAUUAUAACCAAUCAGGGUACAGCCUGGUUAGUACGGGAAACAACCCACAUAAAUGAAAAAUGAUUAUAUACAACUAAGAAUAUAUAGCCCAGUAGGCUUAAAAGCAGCCAUCAUUAUAACAUCGUCAAAGAUUAACUCAUGUAUAUUCUACUAUCUCAAUAAAUAAUCUGAAUUCAACCACCCAAUCAAGUCAAUCUAUUAAUAGAUAAGUUAUUUCUAGGAUGAGUAAUAAGGACAGCCUCUAUAAUACAAGUGUAAGUCAGAACGGACACACCACUGACAGUUAACGAAUGCUUAUAAUAUAUAACCAAGAAUAUAGAUUUUUUUAGCCGUUAAUCCAACACAGGGGUAUUAAAGAAAGACUAAAAGUAUGGAAAGGAACUCGGCAAACCAGGCUUCGCCUGUUUACCAAAAACAUCGCCUUUUGACUUAUCAACAUAAAAGGUCCUGCCUGCCCAGUGACACCUGUUCAACGGCCGCGGUAUUAUGACCGUGCAAAGGUAGCGUAAUCACUUGUCCUUUAAAUAAAGACCGGUAUGAACGGCAAGACGAGAGCCUAACUGUCUCUCCAUAUUAGUCAAUGAAAUUGAUUUUUCCGUGCAAAAGCGGAAAUAUUGUUAUAAGACGAGAAGACCCUGUGGAGCUUUAAGUCAAAACUAACUAUUUAAUAUAGCAUAACCAAAGACUUUAGGUUGGGGCGACCACGAGGUAUAAUAAAACCCUCAAGAUAAAACCAUAGAGGGACACUUCAAAUAAACAAGAUAUUGAUAUAUUGACCCAAAAAUUGAUCAACGAACCAAGUUACCCCAGGGAUAACAGCGCAAUCCACUCAAAGAGUCCUUAUCGACGAGCGGGUUUACGACCUCGAUGUUGGAUCAGGACCCCCAAAUAAUGUAACAAUUAUUAAAGGUUCGUUUGUUCAACGAUUAAAGUCCUACGUGAUCUGAGUUCAGACCGGAGCAAUCCAGGUCAGUUUCUAUCUAUAACUUAACUUUUCUAGUACGAAAGGACCGAAAAGAUGAGGCCCAUAAACAAUCUAAGCCUUCCCAACAACCUCUGAAUAAAAAUAAAGAGGGCUGGUGGGAAAUAAAAAAGUCUAAUACGACUU